AGGACGAACGCUGGCGGCGUGCUUAACACAUGCAAGUCGAGCGGAAAGGCCCUUCGGGGUACUCGAGCGGCGAACGGGUGAGUAACACGUGAGCAACCUGCCCUUAGCUCCGGGAUAGCUCCGGGAAACCGGAAUUAAUACCGGAUACGACCACGGCCGACAUCUGCUGUGGUGGAAAGGAUUCCGGCUAAGGAUGGGCUCGCGGCCUAUUAGCUAGUUGGUGGAGUAACGGCCCACCAAGGCGACGACGGGUAGCCGGCCUGAGAGGGCGACCGGCCACACUGGGACUGAGACACGGCCCAGACUCCUACGGGAGGCAGCAGUGGGGAAUAUUGCGCAAUGGGCGAAAGCCUGACGCAGCGACGCCGCGUGGGGGAUGAAGGCCUUCGGGUUGUAAACCCUUUCAGCAGGGACGAAGCGAAAGUGACGGUACCUGCAGAAGAAGCGCCGGCUAACUACGUGCCAGCAGCCGC
RNAcentral lists this ribosomal RNA (473 nucleotides) under uncultured bacterium. Its description in RNAcentral is "SSU rRNA". It matches the Rfam family "Bacterial small subunit ribosomal RNA", at positions 26 to 518 of the family's 1533-position model. The record is from RNAcentral.